GCUGAACUCUUUCUUCUUUCUUAACACAUGCAAGUCGAACGAAGCAUUUAAGACAGAUUACUUCGGUUUGAAGUCUUUUAUGACUGAGUGGCGGACGGGUGAGUAACGCGUGGGUAACCUGCCUCAUACAGGGGGACAGCAGCUGGAAACGGCUGGUAAUACCGCAUAAGCGCCCAGUACCACAUGGUACAGUGUGAAAAACUCCGGUGGUAUGAGAUGGACCCGCGUCUGAUUAGCUUGUUGGCGGGGUAACGGCCCACCAAGGCGACGAUCAGUAGCCGACCUGAGAGGGUGACCGGCCACAGUGGGACUGAGACACGGCCCAGACUCCUACGGGAGGCAGCAGUGGGGAAUAUUGCACAAUGGAGGAAACUCUGAUGCAGCGACGCCGCGUGAGUGAAGAAGUAGUUCGCUAUGUAAAGCUCUAUCAGCAGGGAAGAUAGUGACGGUACCUGACGAAGAAGCUCCGGCUAAAUACGUG
RNAcentral lists this ribosomal RNA (481 nucleotides) under uncultured bacterium. RNAcentral describes it as "partial 16S ribosomal RNA". It matches the Rfam family "Bacterial small subunit ribosomal RNA", at positions 28 to 507 of the family's 1533-position model. The record is from RNAcentral.